GAUUGAACGCUGGCGGCAGGCCUAACACAUGCAAGUCGAGCGGCAGCACGGGUACUUGUACCUGGUGGCGAGCGGCGGACGGGUGAGUAAUGCCUAGGAAUCUGCCUGGUAGUGGGGGAUAACGCUCGGAAACGGACGCUAAUACCGCAUACGUCCUACGGGAGAAAGCAGGGGACCUUCGGGCCUUGCGCUAUCAGAUGAGCCUAGGUCGGAUUAGCUAGUUGGUGAGGUAAUGGCUCACCAAGGCGACGAUCCGUAACUGGUCUGAGAGGAUGAUCAGUCACACUGGAACUGAGACACGGUCCAGACUCCUACGGGAGCAGCAGUGGGGAAUAGUUGGACAAUGGGGACGAAAACGCCCGA
RNAcentral lists this ribosomal RNA (363 nucleotides) under uncultured soil bacterium. RNAcentral's name for it is "bacterial SSU rRNA". It matches the Rfam family "Bacterial small subunit ribosomal RNA", at positions 27 to 386 of the family's 1533-position model. The record is from RNAcentral.